UAGUCCACGCCGUAAACGAUGGAUACUAGCUGUUGGGUUUCGGCUCAGUGGCUAAGCGAAAGUGAUAAGUAUCCCACCUGGGGAGUACGUUCGCAAGAAUGAAACUCAAAGGAAUUGACGGGGGCCCGCACAAGCGGUGGAGCAUGUGGUUUAAUUCGAUGAUACGCGAGGAACCUUACCAGGGCUUAAAUGUAAGUUGCAUGAUCUAGAGAUAGGUCUUUCUUCGGACCACUUACAAGGUGCUGCAUGGUUGUCGUCAGCUCGUGCCGUGAGGUGUCAGGUUAAGUCCUAUAACGAGCGCAACCCCUGUUGUUAGUUGCCAGCAUGUAAAGAUGGGAACUCUAACAAGACUGCCGGUGCAAACCGCGAGGAAGGUGGGGAUGACGUCAAAUCAUCACGGCCCUUACGUCCUGGGCUACACACGUGCUACAAUGGUGGAUACAGAGGGUCGCUAAGCCGCGAGGUGGAGCUAAUCCCACAAAGUCUAUCCCAGUUCGGAUUGGAGUCUGA
RNAcentral lists this ribosomal RNA (510 nucleotides) under uncultured bacterium. RNAcentral's name for it is "bacterial SSU rRNA". It matches the Rfam family "Bacterial small subunit ribosomal RNA", at positions 791 to 1308 of the family's 1533-position model. The record is from RNAcentral.